CCAUAACUUUGUGGCUUUACUAUUUGCAAUUCUUGGCAUCAUUCAGCAUCCAACAGCUCGUUUUCUGGUUGCUAUGGUGAUCUUGCCAUGAUGAUGUAAGUUUAGGUGUACGCAGACAGAGGGAGAGGUGAUGGGGGUAUACUCUGACUCAGUAAAGGUAUGUGGGAGAGGCUCUGAAUGCAGAUCCAAUACCUAAAUGAAAUAAAAUAUAAAUUUUACAAGAUUUUUCUAUUAACAAUAACUGAUAGAUUUAACAGUGAGAUGCUAAUAAUCUGCCAGUAAAGGGUACCAACUGCUCUAUGAAUUUACAGACA
Molecule: non-coding RNA, 314 nt
Organism: Pelobates cultripes (western spadefoot toad)
Lineage: Eukaryota; Metazoa; Chordata; Amphibia; Anura; Pelobatidae
Source: the annotation of a GenBank genome assembly